This 1177-nucleotide long non-coding RNA is filed under the name Bos indicus x Bos taurus (hybrid cattle). RNAcentral's name for it is "lncRNA (ENSBIXG00005021817.1)". The record is from RNAcentral. Lineage: Eukaryota; Metazoa; Chordata; Mammalia; Artiodactyla; Bovidae.
AUGGAAAAUUUGAAUAUAAGGAAUCUUGGCCUCUACCUUCCAAGGGUUCACAUCCUACGUUGUGAGGAAAUCAGACACAUCUAUUAUGAGUCUCCUCAAAUAAAGAAUAUGAGAAGAAUAAUCACAGAGCAAGAAACAGGAAGAUUAACUCUCAUCAGCAAACCCUCACGAGGCUGCUGUUGUCCUCUCUACUCUCUUCUCUGCCGGACACUUUCAAUCAUUCUGGAAUGCCCUUUCAAAUGGGGGCCCGCCUCAGUCCCCAAGGUGUUUCUAAUGAAAGCAGUGACUUCUGGGAGUCCACCCUAUCCCUGGGUGCCAGCACUCCCACUGGAUCCUGGCCAACACCUCGAAAUGAGGUGUACCCUAAUUCUAGAGUGGAGUCAGGAGGAUCCAGAUGGAUUGCCACUUUUAACUGGUAUAAAUUACAGCCCGCAAGCAGAGGUGUGCAAGAAAUAGUAUGACACUUUUUUUUACAACUCCAUUUAAUUUGUAUUUUAAGCCUUGAUCCUGCUGGUGUCCUGUUUGGAUUUCCAUCCAUCCCUAUUUGGAAGUCAUACAGGGCCAAGGUUUUGAGGGAGGGGACAGAAGCAUGGUCAUUGUUGACUGGAGCACACAGUGCAGUGAAGACAUCCAUCAGCUCGGACGUCUUGCCUCCUUUAGGUUUGGUGGCUCCUGUGCCAUGUGGGCUUCCCUUGUGGCUCAGUGGUAAAGAAUCCACCUGCCAAUGCAGGAGAUCCAGGUUCCAUCUCUGGAUCAGGAAGAUCCCCUGGAAAAGGAAUAGUAACCUGGUCCAGUAUUCUUGCCUGGAAAAUCCCAUGGAUGGGGAGCAUGGCAGUCUGUAGUCCCUGGGGUCAAAAAGAGGCAGACACGACUGAGCAGCUGAGCAGGCAUGUGCCAGGUGUGGGACAGAUUGCCAUGAUUCUGCUUGUAUGCACACUACAGCCAUCUCCUUCCAGAAUUUUUGCCCCACUACCCCUCCAACCACACUUGAGAGGCCUUUUCUCCUCCAGGAUCCACAGGCAUCCCUCUCUGACUUAAUUAGCGCCUUUCAACACUCCAAGAGGGAAAAAAGACAGUAUGUAAUUUCAAAAACCUGCUUCUGUUACAUUUCUGUUCAAGUAUCUUCUCUUUUCCGUGGUGUUUGGGAUUUCAGAAAUAAAAGCCAAGAUCAUCAGCA